This is an RNA transcript of Gopherus flavomarginatus (Mexican gopher tortoise), 2288 nucleotides long. RefSeq lists it as uncharacterized. The record is from RefSeq and is a predicted model, not a curated record. The transcript has 17 exons. Lineage: Eukaryota; Metazoa; Chordata; Testudines; Testudinidae.
CUCAGAGCCGCGCCGAUCUCCUCACCCACACACCCCCGGCUCUGCGAACACAAGAUGGCCUCCCGCCGGCCGGGCCCCGAGUCCGCGCGGCGCCAGCGGCGGGUAGAUGACCAAACAGAGAUGCCUUCUUGUGUAACUGUUCUGAUUAUUGGAGCUGGAUGCCGGGGAAAACACUACUCUUAUUUUGCUGUGCAUUUCCCCAACCGAAUGAAGGUAGUUGGAGUUGCAGAUCCUCGUGCUUUUGCUAGAAAUGAUCUUCAGAAGAUUCACAGCAUUGACAAGAAAAAUGUAUUUAAUGACUGGAAAGUAGCCGCAGAGAGAGAGAGGUUUGCGGAUGCUGUUAUAAUAGCAACACCAGACAGACUGCAUAAGGCUCCAGCAAUAGCUUUUGCUAACAAAGGCUACCACAUUCUGUUGGAAAAGCCCAUGGCAGUAACACCUGAGGACUGCAAAGAAAUUGUGUCUGUAUGUAAAGCUAACAAUGUCAUGCUUGCAGUGUGCCAUGUCCUGCGGUACUAUCCAGCCUCACUGAAGAUAAAGGAGCUACUAGAUGCUGGAGCAAUUGGAGACAUCUGCCACAUACAGCAUCUGGAGCCCGUUGGAUUCUGGCAUUUUGCCCACUCGUUUGUGAGAGGAAAUUGGAGGAAUGAAGCAGAAAGUACAUUUUCGUUGUUAGCCAAAUCCUGCCAUGACAUCGACCUCAUUAAUUUUUGGAUGGGUGAUAAAAGGUGCUUAAAGGUGUCAUCUUUUGGCAGUCUUUCUCAUUUUACUAAUGAGCAUAAGCCCAAAGGAGCUGCCAGUCGGUGCUUAGACUGUUCAGUCGAACAAACCUGUCCAUAUUCAGCCAAGAAGAUUUAUCUGCACCAUGCAGAGAAGGGUUAUUUUAAUUGGCCAGUCUCUGUUGUGUGCAAUAGUGGUGUUUGUGACAUAGAAUCUGUGACAGAGGCUCUACGCAGUAGUCCAUAUGGAAGAUGUGUUUAUGAAUGUGACAAUGAUGUUGUCAGUAACCAGGUUGUUAAUAUGGAGUUUGAAGGAGGAGCAACAGCUGCUUUUACUAUGAUGGCCUUUACGGAGCGACUGGGUACGAGGAAAACCACAAUCUAUGGGACCAAGGGAGAACUAUUCUGUGAUGGGGGGGGACCAGUGCAAGUUUUUGACUUUUGCACAAGAGAGAAAACUGCUUAUCCAACAAACAAAUCCGCAUUCAUUCCAAGCCAUUUAAUGGGGCACGAUGGAGCUGACUACUAUCUGAUGGACAGCUUUAUUUCAGCGUUAACUAAAAAAGACUGCAAGAUAAAAUGUGAUUUAUAAAAUGGCUCUUCCUUCAAAUGUUAAAACUUUGAGUGUCAGAGGAAGCUGGAACAUCAGCUAAAGUUUGUCUUCUGAGGAUGCAAAGUUUUAAGUAAAGGAGAUGCAACACAGUCCUCGGGCCUCUGCCCUCACAUUUACUUUUGUUUUUAUUUUUUAAAACGAAGACAAUCCUAUGUAAAACCCCCUUGGUAAUUAGGGUUGCACAAGUGCAUGUCUUCACAAAAACACAAACAUUAAAAAGCACAAAACACGUAAGUUAAAGGAACAUUCAUUCUCAACACAAUACCAGUCUCCAAGCAUUAGGUUACUACCACAAUGCUACUCAACCACUGCAAAAAGAAACCUGAAAAAUUGGAGCGAGUUAAAGCUACAAGAAUGAUGUGCGGUCUGACAGCAUGUCCCACAAAGAGAAACUUCCACUCAGUCCAUUUCGUUCACCUCAGAGAAGGUUAAGAGGGCAUGGUAUAUGGAGAUGCUAAAAACGGCAAUUUUAAGAUUAUAGCUAUUAACUGUAGCAUUGGAAAGUCAGAGCUAAGGUGUUUUGCAGAGCGAUCAGUCAUGUGAUAUGUACAUUUGAGAAUGGGGCGAUAGCACUAGCUGAAUCGAAGAUGGUCUGAAGCCUAAACUUUGUGACCAAUGCAUAUCCCAAGCAGCUGGGCUGGUCCCCAGGGAGUGAUUCUGGGACUGAGUGGGAAAAAUCCUUUCCCCCCCUGCCACACUGUGGCAGUAGAGCUGCUCAGCUGCCUCGUCGCUACUUUUGCUGACAUCAUGUGGGAGGAAAAGCCACUGGAUUCAUAGCUAUUAAGACUGGAUAGAUACAGAUAUGGAUACCUAAUAGCUUUCUUUGACAAGGUAACAAGCCUUGUGGACAGAGGGGAAGCGGAGAAUAAACCAUCCCUCAUUCAGACUGGUCCAGAAGCAACCCUGCAGUCCCACCUCCUUGUAUUUGAGGCCGAGAAAUCCAGAAAAGAAAACCG